AUUAAAACGCUGGCGGCAUGCCUUACACAUGCAAGUCGAACGGUAGCGCGGGGCAACCUGGCGACGAGUGGCGAACGGGUGAGUAAAGCAUCGGAACGUGCCCUGGAAUGGGGGAUAACGUAGCGAAAGUUACGCUAAUACCGCAUAUUCUGUGAGCAGGAAAGCAGGGGAUCGCAAGACCUUGCGUUCUGGGAGCGGCCGAUGUCGGAUUAGCUAGUUGGUGGGGUAAAGGCCUACCAAGGCGACGAUCCGUAGCGGGUCUGAGAGGAUGAUCCGCCACACUGGGACUGAGACACGGCCCAGACUCCUACGGGAGGCAGCAGUAGGGAAUAUUGGACAAUGGGGGCAACCCUGAUCCAGCCAUGCCGCGUGAGUGAAGAAGGCCCUCGGGUUGUAAAGCUCUUUUGUCCGGAAAGAAAGCAAUCGGUUAAUACCCGGUUGUUCUGACGGUACCGGAAGAAUAAGCACCGGCUAACUUCGUG
RNAcentral lists this ribosomal RNA (482 nucleotides) under uncultured bacterium. Its description in RNAcentral is "bacterial SSU rRNA". It matches the Rfam family "Bacterial small subunit ribosomal RNA", at positions 32 to 507 of the family's 1533-position model. The record is from RNAcentral.